RNAcentral lists this ribosomal RNA (477 nucleotides) under uncultured bacterium. RNAcentral describes it as "partial 16S ribosomal RNA". It matches the Rfam family "Bacterial small subunit ribosomal RNA", at positions 28 to 507 of the family's 1533-position model. The record is from RNAcentral.
GAUUAACGCUGGCGGCGUGCAUAACACAUGCAAGUCGAACGAUGAAACUUAACUGAUUUCUUCGGAAUGAUUUUAAGUGGAUUAGUGGCGGACGGGUGAGUAACGCGUGAGUAACCUGCCUUGGAGAAGGGGAUAGCCUUUGGAAACGAAGAAUAAUACCCUAUGAUAUGAUAAUAUCUCAUGAUAUUAUCAUCAAAGAUUUAUCGCUCUAAGAUGGACUUGCGUCUGAUUAGUUAGUUGGUGAGGUAACAGCUCACCAAGGCAGCGAUCAGUAGCCGGCUUGAGAGAGUGUACGGCCACAUUGGGACUGAGACACGGCCCAGACUCCUACGGGAGGCAGCAGUGGGGAAUUUUGCACAAUGGGGGAAACCCUGAUGCAGCGACGCCGCGUGAUUUAGAAGGCCUUCGGGUUGUAAAAAUCUUUUGUAUGGGAAGAAAAUGACAGUACCAUACGAAUAAGAACCGGCUAAUUACGUG